GAAAAGACAUCUAAGUGCAAGCUGAUAGAAGGCGCACGCCGAUUGAAUAGCCAUUUUUUUGAUUGUGUAUUACUGUUGGCCCACUGGUCUUGAUAGCGUCAUCGGGUGAAGUGGCCGAGUACUGAGACCCAACCGUGAAAAAAAAGGGGUGCCCUUUGGGAGGGCUCGGGAUGGCUGUUCAUUCUACUCCUAGCAAGAUUGCACCUCGGCGCCGGAAAGUCGUGGACGUGGUCGCUGGCGUUGCGGCCUUAAGUGGAACGUAGCCAUAGUUGCAGCCAAAGAGU
This 284-nucleotide unclassified non-coding RNA is filed under the name Melitaea cinxia (Glanville fritillary). RNAcentral's name for it is "misc RNA ENSMCXG00005021527.1". The record is from RNAcentral. Lineage: Eukaryota; Metazoa; Arthropoda; Insecta; Lepidoptera; Nymphalidae.